GAUGAACGCUGGCGGCGUGCCUAAUACAUGCAAGUCGAGCGAACAGACGAGGAGCUUGCUCCUCUGACGUUAGCGGCGGACGGGUGAGUAACACGUGGAUAACCUACCUAUAAGACUGGGAUAACUUCGGGAAACCGGAGCUAAUACCGGAUAAUAUAUUGAACCGCAUGGUUCAAUAGUGAAAGACGGUUUUGCUGUCACUUAUAGGUGGAUCCGCGCCGCAUUAGCGAGUUGGUAAGGUAACGGCUUACCAAGGCAACGAUGCGUAGCCGACCUGAGAGGGUGAUCGGCCACACUGGAACUGAGACACGGUCCAGACUCCUACGGGAGGCAGCAGUAGGGAAUCUUCCGCAAAGGGCGAAAGCCUGACGGAGCAACGCCGCGUGAGUGAUGAAGGUCUUCGGAUCGUAAAACUCUGUUAUUAGGGAAGAACAAAUGUGUAAGUAACUAUGCACGUCUUGACGGUACCUAAUCAGAAAGCCACGGCUAACUACGUG
Molecule: ribosomal RNA, 497 nt
Filed under: uncultured bacterium
Lineage: Bacteria
Description: partial 16S ribosomal RNA
Rfam family: Bacterial small subunit ribosomal RNA
Source: RNAcentral